Molecule: ribosomal RNA, 510 nt
Filed under: uncultured bacterium
Lineage: Bacteria
Description: bacterial SSU rRNA
Rfam family: Bacterial small subunit ribosomal RNA
Source: RNAcentral
GAUUAUGGCUCAGGAUGAACGCUAGCUACAGGCUUAACACAUGCAAGUCGAGGGGCAGCAUUGGAGUAGCAAUACUUCAGAUGGCGACCGGCGCACGGGUGAGUAACACGUAUCCAACCUGCCGCUUACUCGGGGAUAGCCUUUCGAAAGAAAGAUUAAUACCCGAUGGUAUAAAGAGUUCGCAUGUUCUCUUUAUUAAAGAAUUUCGGUAAGCGAUGGGGAUGCGUUCCAUUAGCUAGUUGGCGGGUAACGGCCCACCAAGUCUACGAUGGAUAGGGGUUCUGAGAGGAAGGUCCCCCACAUUGGAACUGAGACACGGUCCAAACUCCUACGGGAGGCAGCAGUGAGGAAUAUUGGUCAAUGGACGAGAGUCUGAACCAGCCAAGUAGCGUGAAGGAUGACUGCCCUAUGGGUUGUAAACUUCUUUUAUAAGGGAAUAAAGUGAGGGACGUGUCCCUUUUUGUAUGUACCUUAUGAAUAAGGAUCGGCUAACUCCGUGCCAGCCGCUGC